RNAcentral lists this ribosomal RNA (564 nucleotides) under uncultured soil bacterium. Its description in RNAcentral is "bacterial SSU rRNA". It matches the Rfam family "Bacterial small subunit ribosomal RNA", at positions 35 to 615 of the family's 1533-position model. The record is from RNAcentral.
GCUGGCGGCGUGCCUAACACAUGCAAGUCGAACGAGAAAGUGGAGCAAUCCAUGAGUAAAGUGGCGACCGGGUGAGUAACACGUGACCAAUCUACCCUUGAGUGGGGGAUAACCUCGGGAAACCGGGGCUAAUACCGCAUAACAUCCUUGGAACGGAAGUACUGGGGAUCAAAGGAGCAAUUCGCUUAAGGAGGAGGUCGCGGCUGAUUAGCUAGUUGGCGGGGUAAUGGCCCACCAAGGCAAAGAUCGGUAGCCGGCCUGAGAGGGCGCACGGCCACACUGGAACUGAAACACGGUCCAGACUCCUACGGGAGGCAGCAGUGGGGAAUUUUGCGCAAUGGGGGAAACCCUGACGCAGCAACGCCGCGUGGAGGAUGAAGUCCCUUGGGACGUAAACUCCUUUCGACCCGGACGAUAAUGACGGUACGGGUGGAAGAAGCCCCGGCUAACUUCGUGCCAGCAGCCGCGGUAAUACGAGGGGGGCAAGCGUUGUUCGGAAUUAUUGGGCGUAAAGGGCGCGUAGGCGGUGCGGUAAGUCACCUGUGAAACCUCUAGGCUUAACUU